GAUGAACGCUAGCGGGAGGCCUAACACAUGCAAGCCGAGCGGUAGAGUUUCUUCGGAAACUUGAGAGCGGCGCACGGGUGCGUAACACGUGUGCAACCUACCUUUAUCUGGGGGAUAGCCUUUCGAAAGGAAGAUUAAUACCCCAUAAUAUAAUGAUUGGCAUCAAUUAUUAUUGAAAACUCCGGUGGAUAGAGAUGGGCACGCGCAAGAUUAGAUAGUUGGUGAGGUAACGGCUCACCAAGUCAAUGAUCUUUAGGGGUCCUGAGAGGGAGAUCCCCCACACUGGUACUGAGACACGGACCAGACUCCUACGGGAGGCAGCAGUGAGGAAUAUUGGACAAUGGGUGAGAGCCUGAUCCAGCCAUCCCGCGUGAAGGAUGACGGUCCUAGGGAUUGUAAACUUCUUUUGUACAGGGAUAAACCUACCCUCGGGAGGGUAGCUGAAGGUACUGUACGAAUAAGCACCGGCUAACUCCGUG
This 479-nucleotide ribosomal RNA is filed under the name uncultured bacterium. RNAcentral's name for it is "partial 16S ribosomal RNA". It matches the Rfam family "Bacterial small subunit ribosomal RNA", at positions 28 to 507 of the family's 1533-position model. The record is from RNAcentral.